CAGCCGUAAACAAUGUGCGUUAGGUGUGUCGGUAACCACGCGUUACUGAUGCGCCGAAGAGAAAUCGUGAAACGCACCACCUGGGAAGUACGGUCGCAAGGCUGAAACUUAAAGGAAUUGGCGGGGGGAGCACCACAACAGGUGGAGCCUGCAGUUUAAUUGGAUUCAACGCCGGACAUCUCACCGGAUAAGACAGCUGAAUGAUUGUCAAUCUGAAGGUUUUACAUGACUAGCUGAGAGGUGGUGCAUGGCGUCAGUGACU
RNAcentral lists this ribosomal RNA (262 nucleotides) under uncultured archaeon. Its description in RNAcentral is "partial 16S ribosomal RNA". It matches the Rfam family "Archaeal small subunit ribosomal RNA", at positions 748 to 1008 of the family's 1478-position model. The record is from RNAcentral.